Molecule: ribosomal RNA, 253 nt
Filed under: uncultured bacterium
Lineage: Bacteria
Description: partial 16S ribosomal RNA
Rfam family: Bacterial small subunit ribosomal RNA
Source: RNAcentral
UACGUAGGGACCGAGCGUUGUCCGGAAUCAUUGGGCGUAAUGAGCGUGUAGGCGGCUACUUAAGUCCUGCGUGAAAUCCUGCGGCUCAACCGCAGGCGGUCGUGGGAAACUGGGUGGCUAGAGUGCGGGAGAGGAGAGUGGAAUUCCUGGUGUAGCGGUGGAAUGCGCAGAUAUCAGGAAGAACACCCGUGGCGAAGGCGGCUCUCUGGAACGCAACUGACGCUGAGACGCGAAAGCGUGGGGAGCAAACAGG